UUUUGAAGGGGUUGUCUUCUUCCAGGCAUUGAUUCUCUGCUGCUCAAAUGCAGAAUAAAAGUCAAGAUGCAUCUCUGACUCUGGUUGGGUGCUGAUAGUUUCCGGCAUCCUGUUUUCCACAUUGUAGAGAUGACAUUUCUGACAGUAUCUGUGCCUUUGUCCAGUGAGGUGUGGUCUUUUGGAUCCUGAAAGACAUUUUGGUGAAAGGGAAAAAGUGAUCGAGAUUUAUGACAGACCGUGCUGCAGGAGUGUACCUUGUUCAGUCGAUAUUCACAUGUAAUGGGAUGUAGAGGUGCAACCCCCCUCAACACAAAAUGAAGUCUCCCCUAACUGGUACUCCUUCUUUUGGAGUUCUGAUCCUCUGUUUAUUCUCAGAACUUUUCAAACAUUUCCAAUGAAACCCCUCUCUCUCUUUCUCUUUCUCUAGGGCCUUGGUUCCUUAAAAUAUUGUCAAAUUAUAUGCAGGUUCAGAUUCUGAAUAGUAUCGCCACGGUUUUGGAGUUUUAUAAUUUCUACAUUAAUAUUUUAAUGAGUAUUUCACUUAUAACCUAAGUAAAUUUUCAUUUGCGUUUGUGGAGUGCUAACAGAACUGCUCCCACACCUGUUCUGCCUAUUGAACUGAACAGCAGGUCGUAUACAGAGCAUAAAUUUCAUUACAAAUUUUAAAGCGUUGAGAAAACAUACCCAACUUUGUUUUGUAGUCUUUACAAGCUUUACUUAUCAUCCUGUUUUGUAGGGGGACAUCAUGCGGACCUUUAGAGUUAUAUGUGUAUAUGUGUGUCUAGUCAUAAGGUGCAGUGCGUCAACAGUGCCUAUCUGAAACUCUUUACGUCCAGUACCAAGGGCAACGGCUGAGGGCUUUCAUCGCGAUACUCACACCUCUCCCUAGCACAGACGCUGUGGGAUGGUUGUCGAGACCUAGCGGUCUAUCCUACAACCGGUGUUCCCCAUGCCUGGCGGGUUUGACUUUGUCCCGCCAUUGAUUGAUUAAAUCCUUUUUGUAAACCCUUUAACCCGCAGGAAUCACCGUGUUUUUGUUUUCUUGCAUUGGCCGCCGGCUUGUUUUGGCGCCCGCUGAUGUUAUCAGAAACAAGCCUGCACUCAUGUGCAUCCAUGUAAUCUCUUGGUGUCCGAGAAACACUGAUGUCCUCUUUCACAAGCGGUAAACGUUUCUGGAAAAGAGCUUUUAAUGAAUUCUGAAAUGCGGAGAGAAAUGUACAGAAAGAAAGUUGUUUGGAGAAGCUAUCCACGAUGAACCAUUACCAAAUAUCAGUGCUGUGUGUGUGACAACAAAUGGCACGUACAAUCAGCAGCUCGUGAACCCUGUCGUUUGCGUGACAGACAUACAAGACGAUCCAGUUAUCAAGCUUGUCUAACACGAUGACCCUGUAAUAAGAGGAAGGGUUUGGGGGACGCGAUUACAGAUUAGUGGUUCGAACUUCGCCAAGAUCUUUUCGAUCUCAGGUCAACCUCCUCAAGCUGAGAGGUGCCAUUUAGAAGCCAGACCGCAGGAGAUUGACGAUCGAGGCAUUUGUGAGGUCGAGCGUUUUCUCUCUCCCACCCGUGUUUGCCCUUUUCUAACAUGGGCGUUAAGAAUUUACACGCGCGCGUGCACACACACACACAGGGAGAGAGAGAGAUGAGGAUGUUGCUCCAUGACAUGGACGCCGCACUAAACAAUCAAAUCACAUUUUUACAAAGUUUUUCUGCAAAUGUGUAAUGAAAGCUUUCUCAGAGACGAUUAACGCUGACAACGUAAUGUUCUUUCAAUGAUGACACAUAAUAUGUAGGGUGGGCGCACAUGCUAACGGUGUGCUAAAUGUCCCUCGAUCUACUGCUCGAAAAAAAAUUAAUUAAAUUCAUUUUCUAUUGUUAGUAAUGUUAACAAUGGGCGACUGCUGUCCAACAAGCGUUUCCUGCGACUUACAAGCUGAUUGCCAUUUUUAAACACACCUAUUAUCACACUCGCUUCCAACAACAACCCCUUCCGACUAUAGCUGGUCCCAUAACUGUCACCCCGCGCACUAUGGAGGUAUUUAUUAGUUCCAGAUCUGGAGAAGCUGUUUCAAGAGGAACAAAAGGUUCACGAAGUGCAUGAGGGAAAAUGAAAACAGGCGAUGUAUGAGAGCACUUGAUCCCACCUCCCCAUCACACUUCUGGUGUCACUCCCCGACCACCACCACACAUACAAAGUGCCCACUGUUCACUCGUGCCUUCACCUGGCAAUUAAUACAGCGAACCCGUUAAAACACCGAUAUAUGACGUCACAAGGUAUUCACGUUGCACGUCGUUCUCUCGUUCAUUUCCUCCCCACUCUAGUCCACACCCAAUAAAUAAAUCUGAACAGUUCUCAAAAACAACAACAAUGACAAAAAAAUGCAGCUUUGUCCAGAUACUUCUGUAUCCGAGAUCGCGAAAGUGAAUAGACAGGGACUGGUUAAUGUUUCCCAGCCCUCUUCGAAAAAUUUAACACGAAACUUGAUAAUUACGGAGUGCGAAUGUAGUUCCCGGCCUACCCAUG
Long non-coding RNA from Pomacea canaliculata, 2521 nucleotides. RefSeq lists it as uncharacterized. Lineage: Eukaryota; Metazoa; Mollusca; Gastropoda; Architaenioglossa; Ampullariidae. The transcript has 3 exons. The record is from RefSeq and is a predicted model, not a curated record.